Molecule: long non-coding RNA, 346 nt
Organism: Gymnodraco acuticeps
Lineage: Eukaryota; Metazoa; Chordata; Actinopteri; Perciformes; Bathydraconidae
Exons: 4
Source: RefSeq, a predicted model, not a curated record
AGCAUGCAGCUCGGGCGCGGGCUUUCACACAUACGGACAGACAGACGACAAAGAAGCUCAUUGAUGUAGUAGAGGGUUUCACCAUGGACACGUUUGUCACAGAGACGUUGACUGCAUGGCAGCUUGAGAACUUGAUUGACACAUUUAAAGGCCAUCCACAGACACAAAGAAAGCCCUUGCCGUGGCAUUGGUGUAUGAAUUCCCUUGCCUUUUGGAUGGUACAGGCAGUGGCUAUGGAGCUUGGUACACACCUGGCCGAAAUCACAAACCUGCUACAGGUUUCCUGGAGGAGCGCUUGAGGAACGUCAGGAAGCACAUGAGAAUGCUGAAACGACCACGCCACCAA